This 253-nucleotide ribosomal RNA is filed under the name uncultured bacterium. Its description in RNAcentral is "partial 16S ribosomal RNA". It matches the Rfam family "Bacterial small subunit ribosomal RNA", at positions 524 to 776 of the family's 1533-position model. The record is from RNAcentral.
UACGAAGGGGGCUAGCGUUGUUCGGAAUCACUGGGCGUAAAGCGCACGUAGGCGGAUUGUUAAGUCGGGGGUGAAAUCCUGGAGCUCAACUCCAGAGCUGCCUUCGAAACUGGCGAUCUUGAGUCCGGGAGAGGUGAGUGGAACUGCGAGUGUAGAGGUGAAAUUCGUAGAUAUUCGCAAGAACACCAGUGGCGAAGGCGGCUCACUGGCCCGGUACUGACGCUGAGGUGCGAAAGCGUGGGGAGCAAACAGG